This 492-nucleotide ribosomal RNA is filed under the name uncultured bacterium. RNAcentral's name for it is "partial 16S ribosomal RNA". It matches the Rfam family "Bacterial small subunit ribosomal RNA", at positions 29 to 507 of the family's 1533-position model. The record is from RNAcentral.
AGUGAACGCUGGCGGUAGGCCUAACACAUGCAAGUCGAACGGCAGCACAGUAAGAGCUUGCUCUUACGGGUGGCGAGUGGCGGACGGGUGAGGAAUACAUCGGAAUCUACUUUUUCGUGGGGGAUAACGUAGGGAAACUUACGCUAAUACCGCAUACGACCUACGGGUGAAAGCAGGGGAUCUUCGGACCUUGCGCGAUUGAAUGAGCCGAUGUCGGAUUAGCUAGUUGGCGGGGUAAAGGCCCACCAAGGCGACGAUCUGUAGCUGGUCUGAGAGGAUGAUCAGCAACACUGGAACUGAGACACGGUCCAGACUCCUACGGGAGGCAGCAGUGGGGAAUAUUGGACAAUGGGCGCAAGCCUGAUCCAGCCAUACCGCGUGGGUGAAGAAGGCCUUCGGGUUGUAAAGCCCUUUUGUUGGGAAAGAAAAGCAGCAGGUUAAUACCCCGCUGUUCUGACGGUACCCAAAGAAUAAGCACCGGCUAACUUCGUG